This 77-nucleotide transfer RNA is filed under the name hydrothermal vent metagenome. Its description in RNAcentral is "tRNA-Pro-TGG". It matches the Rfam family "tRNA". From Rfam's summary of the family: Transfer RNA (tRNA) molecules are approximately 80 nucleotides in length. The record is from RNAcentral.
CGGGGAGUAGCGCAGUUGGCUAGCGCACUUGCUUUGGGAGCAAGGGGUCCCGAGUUCGAGUCUCGGCUCCCCGACCA